UUACUGGGACUAUGUGGUGACAGGUUUACUCUUGAUGUGGCUUGUCUGUGAUAUGGUGCAUUCCAUGAGAUCAUAUUUUAUUGAGAUGUUUUACUGUUCUACUCACUGGGCUAUAGAGCUCAUCCCACUCCCUUAACCCCAGUUUUGCAGGUUCAGUGUACAGAGUACAGGGACAGUCCAGCAAAGUACAGGGAGAGUAAAA
RNAcentral lists this long non-coding RNA (202 nucleotides) under Manihot esculenta (cassava). Its description in RNAcentral is "long non-coding RNA (MESC_LNC012572)". The record is from RNAcentral. Lineage: Eukaryota; Viridiplantae; Streptophyta; Magnoliopsida; Malpighiales; Euphorbiaceae.